This 406-nucleotide ribosomal RNA is filed under the name uncultured bacterium. RNAcentral's name for it is "partial 16S ribosomal RNA". It matches the Rfam family "Bacterial small subunit ribosomal RNA", at positions 30 to 526 of the family's 1533-position model. The record is from RNAcentral.
AUUGAACGCUGGCGGCAGGCCUAACACAUGCAAGUCGAACGAGUGGCGGACGUGUGAGUCAGGUCUUAGCAACUGAACGAUGGAUGGAGAUAACUACUGUAAACGGUAGCUAAUACCGCAUACCAUCGGCUGUGCCCCGAUGGGAUUCGCUAGGAGGUGGGGUAACGGCUCACCUAGACGACGAUCCCUAUCUGGUCUGAGGGGAUGACCAGCCAAACGGGAACUGAGACACGGUCCAGACUCCUACGGGAGGCAGCAGUGGGGAAUAUUGCACAAUGUGCGCAAGCCUGAUGAAGCCAUGCCGCGUGUAUGAAGAAGGUCUUCGGGGUGUAAAGUACUUUAAGCGAGGAGGCGUUACUCGCAGAAGAAGCACCGGCUAACUCCGUGCCAGCCGCCGCGGUAAUAC